UUUAUUUUUUCGUAUCCAACGUUUGACCAUUCGUCUUAUUUGAAAAAAAAUUUCGAUUAAUAUUUUUAUUGUUACUAGAUGAUAAAAUAUGAAUAGUACUUUAUACAUGACUAUUUUUUUAAGUUUUUGUGCAAAUUUUUUAAAUAAGACAAAUAGUCAAACGUUGGACAUGAAAAAACA
Non-coding RNA from Oryza brachyantha (malo sina), 180 nucleotides. The record is from Rfam. Lineage: Eukaryota; Viridiplantae; Streptophyta; Magnoliopsida; Poales; Poaceae.